AUGGAGGUUUGGUUGAAAUUGGUUACGACGACGUCGAGUUGGCGGCGGAGGAAGACUCGGCAUGAAGGCCAGAAAAUGGUGUGGAACGUAGUGGUAAUAGUACGCGCCCCGCUCCGAAACAAAGAAAAAGGUGCGUGCCGCACUCACGAGGGACUGCCAGUGAGAUACUGGAGGAUGGUGGGGAUGACGUCAAGUCCGCAUGGCCCUUAUGGGCUGGGCCACACACGUGCUACAAUGGCAAUGACAAUGGGAAGCAAGGCUGUAAGGCGGAGCGAAUCCGGAAAGAUUGCCUCAGUUCGGAUUGUUCUCUGCAACUCGGGAACAUGA
This 327-nucleotide ribosomal RNA is filed under the name Triticum aestivum (bread wheat). RNAcentral's name for it is "partial small subunit ribosomal RNA". It matches the Rfam family "Bacterial small subunit ribosomal RNA", at positions 1032 to 1323 of the family's 1533-position model. The record is from RNAcentral. Lineage: Eukaryota; Viridiplantae; Streptophyta; Magnoliopsida; Poales; Poaceae.